CAACGCUUGCCAAAGCAAACUCACGCCUCAAACUUCAAAUCUCCCAAGGGAGAACAACUGCCACCACUCAAAGCAGACAUGUUCGACGAAAGCCAAAGCCAUCAUCACCACGACGACGUUUUCAGCGAGAGCAAGGACUCCGGAGUGACUGAAGAGGCAACGGCGGUUCACGUCAAAGAAGAGAUGGAUGACUGUGCCUUUAACGGUUUCAUGGAUAAGACCCCGAAACCGAUGGAAGGCUUGCAUGACAUGGGACCCCCUCCGUUCCUGAAGAAGACCUUCGAUAUGGUGGAGGACCCUAAGACUGACCCCGUUGUCUCAUGGAGUCAAACUCGCGAUAGUUUCGUCGUUUGGGACUCCCAUGAAUUCUCCAAAACCCUUCUUCCCAAAUACUUCAAGCACAGCAAUUUCUCCAGCUUCAUUCGCCAGCUCAACACCUAUGUCAGUCAAUUUUUCCAUUUUUUCAACCUUCUCUUCCAUCUCUCCUUAUUUUUCUUUGACAUUAGCUUUCUAUUCUAUCUCUCUGUCUUCUUCUUUCUCAAAAAUACUGCUCACACUAUCCUAAAUCAAAAUUCUAUUUUUUUUAACAAUUUUAUGGAAUAAGAUCAAAUAUUCAAAUCGACGCCAUUUAUUCUUCCUAGUUAAUCUGUUAAACGAAAGUUUUGUAAUCUGUAUAAAUUGAACAUUUGAUUAAUAUAUUCUGAUUUCAGAAUUUUACUAACCAGUUUGAUGAACUUUUUGCAACAUCUAAUAAUAUUUUAGCUUUUGGUCUGAUUGAGUAUACAGUAAAGGGUUCUGUGUUAAGUAAUUGGAUUCAUCUGUUUUCAUAUAAUAUCAUUUUUGCGAUGUAAACGGAGGAUUUAUGGUGUGACGGAAACAGGGCUUCAGGAAGGUUGAUUCAGACCGUUGGGAGUUUGCGAAUGAAGGAUUCCAAGGAGGGAAGAGGCAUUUGCUGAAAAACAUAAGGAGGAGGGGCAAGUACAACAGACUGCAUCAGGGAACUUUCAAUAUGAUGAAGCCAGGCGUGGAGGCUGAAUUGGAGAAACUGAAGAAGGACCAAAACAUUUUGAAGGUGGAAAUUCUGAAACUGAGGCAGCAGCAGGAGAAUUCGCAUGUUCAGCUCACUAAUGCUCAGGAGAGAGUUCGGUGUGCAGAGAUGAAGCAGUAUCAGAUGAUGUUUUUCCUCACUAGAAUGGCUAGAAGGCCCGCNUUUGUUGAGCAGUUAAUCCAAAAGAUUAGGAGGAAAAGAGAGCUUGAUGGUAACGACAUGGUUAAGAGGCCUAGAUUGAUGGUGAACCCCUGCUAUGUACCCUUCCCAAAGACCACGGAAACAACCCCUGAUGUUGAUUACAGACAUCAAAGUCAUAAACAAUUCCCUUCAAUGCAAUCCGAGCUCGACGGAUUUCUGUCUGAAACUGUGAACAUCAGCAAGAUGGAGCACCCGACUCCCUCUCCCUUGGAAGAUGAAUUGUGUAACCCUGUGCAAGGGUCAAGGGCCCAUGGUUGUUCUAGCGCAAAUGCGCCAGAUGCUUCUUCUGCCUAUCAUGUUAUGUCAGAAAAACUAAUGCGGGAAAAUUCUGUAGUUGACGAAGAACUAGAUGUGAAUGACUCUAAUAUCUAUCUUGAAUUGGAGGAUUUGAUCACUAAGCCAUCGGAUUGGUCUCUUGGAUCUGCAAAUGGAUUGGUGGAACAAACUAGUUGAAGUGGCUGUCCCUUGUAAUGGUAAUCUUCCUCUCCAACUCUAUAAAUGUUUAGUUUUGAACAAUCUGGUCCUUAAUGUUGCAUUGGGCAAUUUAUGCAGGUGUGUGUGUGUGUGAAGAUGCCCUGCUGCUUUGAAAGUGCAGGACCUAGUUGCUCGCCCCAGCUUUUUAUAUGAUGAAGCGAGAAUUUUCAUGUUUGUGUUUGGUCGGGUCCAAAUUGUUCGUAUGUUGUACAGCCCUUUCCUCCCUUGGUGUUCCGUUCCUUAACAUAGGCUCUUAAGUCAUACAUCGGCAUGGCCAUAGCUAAGACUUUUAUGAUGUAGGUUGUAAAUUUGUAUUAACAUGGUUUAUCGUUCACUACUUCCGGUUUAUAAUUGCGUUCAUCUUCCAUAAAACAGAAGAUAGCGGAAAUAUGUUGAAGUUUUCUAUACUGAUAUCAGGUCAUUCUUGGAAAUAUUUUCUAAGAGAUAAAAAUCAAAGAAAUAGUGGAACACUUUCAAGACUCAAGAGACAGAAUGAAUGUGAACACAAGAAAAAGUUUUACAUUUGAACACAAAACUUAUAAUAACAUAUAGUAUGACUAUUUUAUUUUACUAAAUGCAUAAUAAAUAUCUCUCUAAGGUUUGUUCUCUAUGAUUUGUUCUCUAUAAUAGUCUAUUUAAAAAAGAAAUUAUUAAAAUAUCAUAAUUUCUGUAAUUUACUAAUUAAGAAGAGGAUUAUAGAUUAAAAUCAUUUUCACUUCUACUAAUUUAGAAUGAUACGGACCAAUAAAAUUUUAGAUUAAAAUCAUUUUUACUAUAAUAAAUGGAAAGUGUUGAAUUACAAUAUUUAUUGUUUUUUUAUUAUCUGCUAAAGUCCUUAUAUUUGAAGGGAAUUAACACAAAUGGUCAGUUUUGCCCUCGUCUAAUUUUUUAAUUAUCAAAUUUCACUUGAAAUGUGAGGUGUUGUGAGUAACCAAUUCCACUUGUAGUUGAAAUCUAUUCUAACAUUAAUGUUUCCGAUUCCACAUAAACAUUAUAUUUCAUUUAGACAAAAUUUAUAGUUUAUUUCAUUAUGUUUAAAUUAUUUGAUCGUGAGAGAAAAUAAUUAAUAAAAAAAUCAUUUUAUUUUUUUACUAUUUAUUAUCUAUUAUCUUUUUUAGUUCCUCUUUUUAUAUAAGUUUCUUGUAAGAUGAAAGAAGUAAGAAAAAAAAGGAAAAAAAAAAUAGUUGUAUUUUUUUACUUAUAUUUCAUGUUAAAAUAAUAUCAUAUUGAUUAUGUAGUUUUUUGAAAAGAAUUGUUCACAAAUUCUUAAAGUAAAUAGUAUAAAUAAUAAAAAUCAAAUAAAAUAUUAUUAUUAUAAAAAAGUUUCCUCGUAUACUUAUUUUAAACAAAAUAAUUUGACUUUACUUAAAUAAAAUUUUAUUUUUAUUUUUUAUUAAUUUUAAUUUUAUUUUACUACUUAAUAUAUUAUUAAUAAAUAUCAUUUUAUAUUUCUUUUACCAUUAAAAAAAUUUUAGCAAUUUUUAAUUUGUAUCAAUUAAAACAUUAUUUUUAUCUAUCACAUUGGUUAAAUCUUCCACAAACUUUAUUUCUAAGUUCAUUCUUAAUCACUUUUUUAAUUCAUUCUUAAUCACUUUUUAAUAUCUUAAAAGAACGACACACAAUUUAAUUCAAAUCUUCUUAAAUUAAUCUAAUUUCUCUCAUUCAAAUUAAUACAUCCUAAAUGAGUUUAGCCAUAUUCUUUAUAAAUUUUUUUUUACUUCCAACAGUUAAAUUUGUCCCUUAUUAUAUUUACAAGGUUUUUUUUUUUUUUUUCAUUUCACUCAACAAAGUAUUUUAGUCAUUAUUUAUAUAUUUCAUUGUGAGGUUUUAUGGUAAGUUUACUUACGAUGAUGAAAAAUGUUUUUUUUUUUUAUCUUAAAGAAUGAUUAUAGUAAUUUUAUUUGAAUAUUUUUUUUAUCAUGCAUAAAUCUAAAGUUGCUAAUAUUAUAAAAUGCUUUUUUUUUUUUUUCAAAUAGUUCAAACUUAAUUUAAGACAAAGAUAGUGUUUUAGGUCUGACGAUGAAAAAAAAAUUGGUCCUACUCAUUUUCUAAUAGAACAGGAAAUCCUCCAUUAAAUUUCUUGUGUUGAGAGAUAUGAACAAAAUUUAUUAGUUGAGAGAAAACAUUAAUAUCUAUUGAAUCUUGCUUGAGUUUUAUUCUAAAAAUCAAAUAAUUUAAAUACCAACAACUUAAGUCUUUGAAGGUAAUAACACUUGGUUUAUAGUCCUUUACCAGAGUAAAUAUUGUACAUCACACAAAUGUUUUUAAAUUGAAAUAGAAAAUUAGCUUAAUAAAAUAGCUUUAAAUUUAUUAUAAUUUUUCUUCACUUAUUCACUUAUAUUAUAAUUUGAUAUUUAUAUUUAGACAACGUGAGAUUUCCAAUAUACAUUCUUAUUAGAAAACAUCAAAGUAUGAAAAUUGAAGAAAAAUUAAUAACAAAUGAUUAAAUAAAUUCAAUAUUAAUUGGGAUAAAGUUUAUGAAAAAGAUAUGAUAGAAUGAAUAAAUGUUAUGAAAAUAAAAUAUUUUCAUAUUAAAUUUUGUCUUUAAGUGAUAAAAUCUGGCAUAUUCUUAAUAUUUAAAUCGUGUACCCUGAUGUGGUAGAGUGUAGCUAACAUGUCUCACUUUAUUCACACUUGUUACUUUUGGUCUGUGACCGAUUGGUAAUGUUUAUCAAUAGUCUGUGAAAUCUGAUCAACACUGAAAAAUUGGGUCCAGUCUGAGAGUCACAAAAAUUUAUUAUAAGGCUAACUUUGAGUCACGUUUUCAUGUAACAAAAAGUCAGAACUCGUAACUCGGAUACAUAAGUCCAACCGAUUACUAUUACAAUCAAUAACAUCAUCAAACGACAUGUCUCUUAUUUACUACCUUGUCAUCACCGUUUAAAAUAUCUCUCACAUUCAAUGUUUUUGUUUUUGGAACAUUUUACAUAAAGACAGUUCUCAAUUUUUUGUAUAAGAAAAGGUGUGUGGAUAGGUACUGUUAUCUCUUUUGUCUAACGAGUAUUUAUCAAACUGCAUAAAGUUGUUGCACCAAUUAGCCCUGCCAACACUUGUAAUGCAUGCAGCUGAUGACCGACAACACUCACUCAGUAACCCAACCGCAUGGACCGUAACCGUAGCAUUUAUCGGUUUGCAUUCUUUUGCUAUUUUUGUUCUCUUCUUUAUCAUAUAACUUGCAAUUGGUUUGGUUGAUAUAUUUAUUUAUGUUGUUAGAAAAUAAACGGUAAGAGAUAAGGAGUGAGACCAAAAUUAGAUUUGAUAUGGACCUGAGCAAGACUAUUUCCGUACAAGUGGCAAGAAACUAAGAGUCAUCAAAACGUGGCUGUCCAAAGGAGUUUCCUAAAAUGGACACUCACAAAGAUACGCUAUCCAUUACCUUCUUCUCUUCUUCCCAUUAAAAUACUCUUUUUCCUUCUUUUCACACUCUCUAUAAAUGGAACACACAACACUCCCAUUCCUCACACUGCUUUCCAACUAUUCAACGCUUCAAACAUCAAAUCACUGCCAUGGGAGAACAACUGCCACCACUCAAAGCAGAGAUCUUUGACGACAGCGAAAGUCAUCGCCACGACGACGUUUUCAGCGACAGCAAGGACUCCGGUCUGACUGAAGAGCCAACGGCGGUUCACAUCAAAGAAGAACUGGAUGACGGCGCCGUUAACGGUUUCAUGGAUAAGAUGCCGAAACCUAUGGAAGGCUUGCACGAGAUGGGGCCCCCACCGUUCCUGAAGAAGACCUUCGAUAUGGUGGAGGACCCUAGGACUGACCCCGUUGUCUCAUGGAGUCAAACUCGCGAUAGCUUCGUCGUUUGGGACUCCCAUGAAUUCUCCAAAACCCUUCUUCCCAAAUACUUCAAGCACAGCAAUUUCUCCAGCUUCGUUCGCCAGCUCAACACCUAUGUCAGUCAAAUUUUCCGCAUUCUCACCUUUUCUUCUAUCUCUCCUUAAUUUUCUCUCACCUUACCCUUCUAUUGUACCUCUCUCUCCUCUUCUUUCUCAAAAAUACUGCUCACACUAUGAUACAUCAAAAUUCUUUUUUUUUAAUAAUUUUAUGAAUUAGGAUCAAAUAUUCAAAUCUAUAAAAUAACCUUUCAUUUAGAUCAACUGACGCCAUUUAUUCUUCCUAAUUAAUCUAUGGAACGAAGGAUUUGUAAUCUGUAUAAAUUGAACAUUUCAUUAGUAAAUUCUGAUUUCAGAAUUUUACUGACCAUUUUGAUGAAUUUCUUGCAACAUUUAAUAAUAGUUUAGCUUUUAGUCUGAUUGCGUAUACAGUAAAGGGUUCUGUGUUAAGUAAUUGGAUUCAUCUGUUUUCAUAUAAUAUCAUUUUUGCGAUGUAAACGGAGGAUUUAUGGUGUGACGGAAACAGGGCUUCAGGAAGGUUGACUCAGACCGUUGGGAGUUUGCGAAUGAAGGAUUCCAAGGAGGGAAGAGGCAUUUGCUGAAGAACAUAAGGAGGAGGAGUAAGUACAACAGACUGCAUCAGGGAGCUUUCAAUAUGAUGAAGCCAGGCGUGGAGGCUGAAGUGGAGAAACUGAAGAAGGACCAGAACAUUUUGAAGGUGGAAAUUCUGAAACUGAGGCAGCAGCAGGAGAAUUCGCAUGUUCAGCUCACUAAUGCUCAGGAGAGAGUUCGGUGUGCAGAGAUGAAGCAGUAUCAGAUGAUGUUUUUCCUCACUAGAAUGGCUAGAAGGCCCGCAUUUGUUGAGCAGUUAAUCCAAAAGAUUAGGAGGAAAAGAGAGCUUGAUGGUAACGACAUGGUUAAGAGGCCUAGAUUGAUGGGAAACCCCUGCUGUGUACCCUUCCCAAAGACCAUGGAGACAACCCCUGAUGUUGAUUACAGACCCCAAAAUCAUAAACAAUUCCCUUCCAUGCAAUCCGAGGUCGGUGGAUUUCUGUCUGAAACUGUGAACAUCAGCAAGAUGGAGCACCCAACUCCCUCCCCCUUGGAAGAUGAAUUGUGUAACCCUGUGCAAGGGUCAAGGGCCCAUGGUUGUUCUAGCGCAAAUGCGCCAGAUUCUUCUUCUGCCUAUCAUGUUAUGUCAGAAAAACUAAUGCGGGAAAAUUCUCUAGUUGAUGAAGAAUUAGAUGUGAACGACUCUAAUAUCUAUCUUGAAUUGGAGGAUUUGAUCACUAAGCCAUCGGAUUGGUCUCUUGCUGCAAAUGGAUUGGUGGAACAAACUAGUUGAAGUGAUCUCACUAGUGUGGUUGUCCCUUGUAGUGGAAAUCUUCCUCUCCAACUCUCUAAAUGUUUAGUUAUGAACAAUCUGGUCCUGAAUGUUGCAUUUGGCAAUUUAUGCAGGGUGCAAUUUCAGGUUGCAGGAGUGUGUGUGAUGCUCUGCUGCUACGUAAGAUGAAGAGCUUAAUAUUAUAUGGCUCUUCAAUUACCAGCUUUGAAAGCGCAGGAGGACCCAGUUGCUCGCCCCAGCUUUUUAUAUGAUGAAGCGAGAGUUUUCAUGUUUCAGUUUGUUUGUGUCAAAAUUGUUCAUAUGUUGUACAGCCCUUUCCUCCCUUGGCGUAGUAAUUAACUAUGUAGGUUGUAAAUUUGCAUUACCGAACAUGGUUUAUAGUUCAAUACUUGGGGUGUAUAAUUACGUUACUGUUCCGUUUCAGCCUUUGUCUAAUGUAGCCUGUCCUUUCCUUUGUCUCCUAUAAUUUGUAGUCAUCGGCUUCGUCACUUACUUUCAGGUUUAGGCUUUCAAGAUGAUUUUGGAGACGUCUCUGUCUUCAGAGCUGUUACAAUCUGUCUUUUUCCUUGUCUCAGAUUUUUGCGAAUCAUUUCACUUCUCUCAUAUUUUCCUGAAUCACGAUUUUCAGCUUGGAAAAUAUUAACGAUGAGGUUAUUCAG
Molecule: long non-coding RNA, 7566 nt
Filed under: Vigna radiata
Lineage: Eukaryota; Viridiplantae; Streptophyta; Magnoliopsida; Fabales; Fabaceae
Description: long non-coding RNA (VRAD_LNC007499)
Source: RNAcentral